RNAcentral lists this ribosomal RNA (253 nucleotides) under uncultured bacterium. RNAcentral describes it as "partial 16S ribosomal RNA". It matches the Rfam family "Bacterial small subunit ribosomal RNA", at positions 524 to 776 of the family's 1533-position model. The record is from RNAcentral.
UACGGGGGGGGCAAGCGUUGUUCGGAAUUACUGGGCGUAAAGGGCUCGUAGGCGGCUAAUUAAGUCAGACGUGAAAUCCCUCGGCUUAACCGGGGAACUGCGUCUGAUACUGGAUGGCUUGAGAUUGGGAGAGGGAUGCGGAAUUCCAGGUGUAGCGGUGAAAUGCGUAGAUAUCUGGAGGAACACCGGUGGCGAAGGCGGCAUCCUGGACCAACACUGACACUGAGGAGCGAAAGCCAGGGGAGCAAACGGG